AGCUCCCCGAGUGGUGUGGGUAAUUAUUGGGCCUAAAGCGUUCGUAGCCGGUUCAGUUAGUUUUCUGUUAAAUCCAAUGAUCUAAUCGUUGGGCUGCAAAAAAUACUGCUGGGCUAGGAGGCGGAAGAAGUCGACGGUACUCUCGGGGUAGGGGUGAAAUCCUAUAAUCCUGCGAGGACCACCAGUGGCGUAGGCGGUCGACUAGAACGCGCUCGACGGUGAGGGACGAAAGCUGGGGGAGCGAACCGGAUUAGAUACCCGAGUAGUCC
RNAcentral lists this ribosomal RNA (269 nucleotides) under uncultured archaeon. Its description in RNAcentral is "partial 16S ribosomal RNA". It matches the Rfam family "Archaeal small subunit ribosomal RNA", at positions 478 to 747 of the family's 1478-position model. The record is from RNAcentral.